GGGGAUUUAGCUCAGUGGCAUAAGCGCCUGCCUUGCAAGCAGGCAGGCAGUUGUGAGUUUGAUCCCUG
Molecule: non-coding RNA, 68 nt
Organism: Cavia porcellus (domestic guinea pig)
Lineage: Eukaryota; Metazoa; Chordata; Mammalia; Rodentia; Caviidae
Source: Rfam